This 493-nucleotide ribosomal RNA is filed under the name uncultured bacterium. Its description in RNAcentral is "bacterial SSU rRNA". It matches the Rfam family "Bacterial small subunit ribosomal RNA", at positions 29 to 518 of the family's 1533-position model. The record is from RNAcentral.
AUGAACGCUAGCGACAGGCCAACACAUGCAAGUCAGGGGCAGCACAAGGAGCAAUCUGAGGUGGCGACCGGCGCACGGGUGAGUAACACGUAUGCAACCUGCCUGUAAGCGGGGAAUAACCCGUUGAAAGACGGACUAAUACCGCAUAAUACUAAAUUACUGCAUGGUAAUUUAUUUAAACAUUUAUGGCUUACAGAUGGGCAUGCGCAUGAUUAGCUAGUUGGAGAGGUAACGGCUCCCCAAGGCAACGAUCAUUAGGGGUUCUGAGAGGAAGGUCCCCCACACUGGUACUGAGACACGGACCAGACUCCUACGGGAGGCAGCAGUGAGGAAUAUUGGUCAAUGGACGAGAGUCUGAACCAGCCAAGUCGCGUGCAGGAAGAAUGUCCCUAUGGAUUGUAAACUGCUUUUGCAGGGGAAUAAAGUGCAUCACGUGUGAUGUUUUGUAUGUACUCUGCGAAUAAGGAUCGGCUAACUCCGUGCCAGCCGCCGC